GGCUACGAGGACGAACGCUGGCGGCGUGCCUAACACAUGCAAGUCGAACGGAGAUACUUUGAAGCUGCGAUAAAGUAUCUUAGUGGCGGACGGGUGAGUAACGCGUGGGUAAUCUGCCCAUAAGUGGGGAACAACAGUUGGAAACGACUGCUAAUACCGCAUAAUCUGCCGUGAGGCAGGAAAGGUGGCCUCUUAACAAUGCUGCCGCUUAUGGAUGAGCCCGCGUCUGAUUAGCUAGUUGGUGGGGUAAAGGCCUACCAAGGCGACGAUCAGUAGCCGGCCUGAGAGGGUGAACGGCCACACUGGGACUGAGACACGGCCCAGACUCCUACGGGAGGCAGCAGUGGGGAAUAUUGCGCAAUGGGGGAAACCCUGACGCAGCGACGCCGCGUGAGCGAAGAAGGCCUUAGGGUUGUAAAGCUCUGUUUUAGGGGACGAAUGUUCAUAGGAGUAAUAUGCCUGUGAAAUGACGGUACCCUAAGAGGAAGCCCCGGCUAACUACGUGCCAGCAGCCGC
RNAcentral lists this ribosomal RNA (516 nucleotides) under uncultured bacterium. RNAcentral describes it as "bacterial SSU rRNA". It matches the Rfam family "Bacterial small subunit ribosomal RNA", at positions 26 to 518 of the family's 1533-position model. The record is from RNAcentral.